RNAcentral lists this ribosomal RNA (406 nucleotides) under uncultured bacterium. Its description in RNAcentral is "bacterial SSU rRNA". It matches the Rfam family "Bacterial small subunit ribosomal RNA", at positions 29 to 463 of the family's 1533-position model. The record is from RNAcentral.
AACGAACGCUGGCGGCAUGCCUAACACAUGCAAGUCGAACGAGAUCUUCGGGUCUAGUGGCGCACGGGUGCGUAACGCGUGGGAAUCUGCCCUUGGGUUCGGAAUAACUUCGGGAAACUGAAGCUAAUACCGGAUGAUGACGUAAGUCCAAAGAUUUAUCGCCCAAGGAUGAGCCCGCGUAGGAUUAGCUAGUUGGUGAGGUAAAGGCUCACCAAGGCGACGAUCCUUAGCUGGUCUGAGAGGAUGAUCAGCCACACUGGGACUGAGACACGGCCCAGACUCCUACGGGAGGCAGCAGUGGGGAAUAUUGGACAAUGGGCGCAAGCCUGAUCCAGCAAUGCCGCGUGCAGGAUGAAGGCCUCGGUUGUAAACUAGCUUUGUUACGGUAACGAAACGGUAGAGCUCU